This is a long non-coding RNA of Apis cerana (Asiatic honeybee), 5977 nucleotides long. RefSeq lists it as uncharacterized. The record is from RefSeq and is a predicted model, not a curated record. NCBI's taxonomy places the organism in Eukaryota, Metazoa, Arthropoda, Insecta, Hymenoptera, Apidae.
UUAAUUUGGACAUAUUUAUAUCAUACGCAGUGGUAUAUUUCUUAACUUCUGAAACGAAAUUAAAGAUAUUCUUUUAUUUUUCUCAAAAUAUUGCGAAUAAAUAAUAUAUAACCGGAAAGAAAUAAUAUUAUCAUUCGAUCCAAUCAAAAAUUCUAGAAUACCAAACACUCUUUUCUCGAAGAUUCUCGAAGAAGAAAAAAAACUCUCUCCUCGAAUCAAAAAUUCCAAAUCGAAUCGCUGGCACGGAAGAGGAAACUCUCGAGUAGAUUCGAGAGGGAGAUUCCACUCGCGCACGGAUUCGCUUCCCAAAUCAAUCUGCGGGACUAUUAAAAAACACAGGCGGCGGAACGGAGGCAUCAAGGUUCUCUCCUCUAUCCCGAAGGAUUCGCGGUCCACGAAGAGGAGGAAGAGGACGAAGAGGAGCUCGAGAGGCUCGAGACGAGAGCGAGAGAGGGGAAAAAAAAAGGACAGGAGGAGGCGUGGUCGCGGGAUGAUUUAACAUCGACGGGGUCCGUGUCUCUAUUCGGCCGGGCCGCAAAGGAAGAAGACGAUACCGCAGCAACAGCACAAGGGCUAAACAACGGUGCACGCUCGCGCGCGUUUUCGGGGCGGCAGCUUUACAACCGUUUAGUGUUUUACGGCCGUUUUAUGAACGCCGUGCUCUCUUCGGCUCUUUCGUGAAAGAGAGAGAGAGAGAGAGAGAGAGAGCGGAGGAAGAGGAACAGGCGCUCGGUCUCUUUUAGAGACGGUACGAGUUACGUUUUACGGGAUGAUGGUAUACGCGGGAAUCAUGCAUAUCAGACGGAUGUUUUAUCCUCUCGAUAUUUUCGUUCCUUGAACACGUGGAAAACUAUUCGCGAGGAUGGAGGAGAAUCACGUUUGAUGCGUUUUGUGGUCGAAAAGGGAGAUCGAAUAUGGUAGAUGGUUGGAGAAUUUCUGGAGAAGAGUGAAAUUAUUCGAUCGAUGGAUUCUUUCGAGUUGCAAUUCCAUUGAGUGAAAUAUUUAGCGAGGAAUUAUGGAAUGGAUCGGAUCUCGGUUCGUAAUUUUGAUAAUGAUUAAUUUUUGUACAUGCGUGUGUACAAAAUUUUAAUAUACUUCAAUUUGCGUUAUCAGGAACGAUUCGAUGGAACGAUUACGAAUUCUCGUGUUGGAUUUAACGCGAAAAAUAGAAUUUCACGAUCAGAUUUCUGAAUUGCGUUAAAGAAAAGAAGCAAACAGUAUUAAUAAUGAAUUUCGAUUCUCAAUUAAAAAAAAAAAAAAAGAAGAAGAAGAACUCCAUUUAUUGUAUCACAAACGCCCAAAAAGAUUCCCCGACGAAAUCGCGUCGAAAGCAAGGAGAACGCAGCUUAAAUAACAUUCAAGCCCGCGCGUGCGAGUCUUCCAAGCUUCGGCCAAGGAAUUUAGAGACUAGUCUGCGGGUCCGACAACCAAUCAUCCGGACAAGGGCGAGGGAAGGGAGGGGAGGGAGGGGGGAGGGGGCGAAACAGGCCAAGGAACGUAAUCUUACGUAUCAAUUAGCUUCACGGUCCGAGGGGCUUACCCCCCGCGGGCCUUUGACCGUGCGCCGCUUCGUCUUCGAGGUGUGAGAACCGAGACACGGAGCGUACAGUCGUUUUACAACGUCUUCAUCGUCUCUGUCCGGCUCUCCUUCCAACCCUCCUUCGGCCCGUCCUUCUUCCUCCUUCCGCCUGGUGCGCGGCAUGGAGCAUGGAGGGAACGAGGGGGGAGAGAGGGGGACGCAUCUGGACAGGUAAGGGAGAGCCCCCGAAAUCUCUCGAGUUGCGUCGAAACCGAUGGCCCCGAUACUUGACGAGUCAUCCUCCACCACGGUGGGUGGAAGUUUUGGUAGCUAAUGGCCCGGUGUAAUUUAGCCUUAGUUGAUUGGAAUUCAACUGGCCCGUUUGUUCCUAGAUGUACCGGUUGUUAUUACCCUCCCUCCGAGUUGUGAACCGUCGGUUGUUAACGAGGAUCGUUUCGUGUGUUUGCGGCCUGGCUUCGGCGGGAUCAAUUCGAUGGGAUUAAUUUCGAUGGGAGUGUGAGUCGUCGGUGUCGAUAUUGUUUUUCGUGUCGAGGAAUAUUUGGGAGGAAGGAGGGUGGAAGGGACGAACGACGUUCACGGUUUUGUAUUCUUUGCAUUUUUUAAAAUUCCUUUCGAAAAAGAAGAGGCGGAAAGUUGUUUUGAAUUAAUUUUUUAUGCGAAAGAGUUUGAAAUAUUUGGUCCUGAUUUAUCGAUUACUUUAUUUUAUAGUUGUUAAUUCGUAUGCAUUCGAUGUAAGAUUCAAUAUGUAUUUUAUGAGAAAGAAGAAUCAUUGAAAUGGUGAUUUUUUAAUGGGAUGGUGAGUUGUUAGUGUUGAUAUUUUGUUCUAUUUAUUGUAUUUACUUUUGUUAUUAAUUUUUAACUGUUCAGCAAGAUUUGUGAACUUCUGGUACAAAAAUUAUAUUGAAUUAUAUUAAGCUCGAUAUAUUUAAUUUUAUGAUAAAGAAAAGGAAUAGGAAUUAUUCGAGGAAAAAAUUUUUUAAAGAAAAUAAUGUUAUAAUGUUAAAAUAAUGUUUCGAUAAAAUAUAAUGGCCAGAGAUGGAAUAUUUUAAAAAUUAGCGAAACCAACUUGAAAUAAUGAAUUAAUAUUGAAGACUAUUAAUAGACGAAUAGACUCGUGACAAUUACACGAAAGAAAUAUUGAACUCGAAGAUUGAAAAAUAUAAAAGCAACGAAGAGUUGGAGAAAAAAAGGUGACAAGGCUCGAACAAAGCUGGAGAAUCGAUUGAGCAAGAUAUUCAUCCGGUGGCUGGCCACGAUGUUUCCGGGAGUGUUAACAAGUCCCGAUCGUUUUCUUCAGGUCGGAGAGGAUGAGAGCUGGCCUUAUGCGGUCGUCCUCACGCAGUGCCAGGUGUUGACCUUAUAACGUAUUACUUAACACCCACCAAAAGGACCCACGUGUAGCCACGGGGGGGCCUAAUCCAUCCGGCUGAAUCGUAUUCUUCUGCUCUCUCUCUCUCUCUCUCUGUGUUGUAUUUUUUUUAAAAAUAAAACCAUCCAAAGAAGGAAGAAAAAGGGGACGAGCCAUGGAACUGAAUUCCAAACGUUACCAAGCAACUUUAUAAAUUUCACGCCAAGUUUAUGGAACUUUUUAAUAGAAUUUCCGAAGGAACACCGUACCUGUUACAGUUUAGAUUACAAUAUAUACUAUACUUAAUUUAUCUUUAUUAAAAUUUUUUAUGUAAUAUUUUUUUAUUUUUCAAGAUAGAUUCUUUCUUUCGUUUAAAUUUUCUUGUUAUUGUUUUUCAUAUCAAAAUCGGAGAAAAAGAUAGGAGAUUAUUUCAAUUGGGAUAAUUAAUUAAAACUAAAAGAAAGAAAUAACAAAAUUUCAAUUUUCAAAUUGAAUCAAGUUUAAUUUAUAUUUACUCAACGAAUGGAAAAUUUUAACGAAUGAAUGGAAGAUUUAAUUUAUCUUUCUAAAUGAAAAGAAAAUUCAUACAUUUUAAAAUAUCAGACAAGAUAUUUUAACACGGAAGAUUUUCAAAGGGGAGUAGAUCAAGUUAGCGCGCGACGCAAAAGAAUCUGAAUAUCAAAUCCACCACGGUUGGAAUUUGCAUCGCGAGAAUCGAACACCUGACGUAAACUACGCCCCUCAGAUUAGUUCGCGUUUACCGGAGCAAACUGGGCGACUCGUUUUCAUCGAAACCGGUAAUUUUCGUGAGACUUGGCAGACUCGAGGGGCCCAAACGCGUGUGACUACGUAUUAUUCCAAGCCUGGAGCGGUGCGUGCCCUGUCCAUUACUUUUUCGUUUCGCGCAACGUUCAAUUUUCCAAUGGAAAUGGAACGAAGAUUAUCGAGUCCGUUUCAAUAAAACAUUCCACUUCGUUCAUCGCUGUCAAUUUUGAACUGCGACUUUAUACACUGGAGGAAAGAUUCUUGAGAGAUUUCUUCGAUCGGCUCGCAUUUAACCGCGUUAAAUCGUUGGAAAAAAAUUGCGAUCGAAUAGGAACUCUGAUAGAUUACAUCAAUUAUCUCUUUUUUCUUCUCCUUUCUUCUUUCUUUUUUUCCGAAUCGAAAGAAUUCUUCUCUUCGAAGUUUGAAUCGAAAUUAAAAUGUUGUAAUGAGUCAGUUUGUAAUAUAAGUCAAUUGAUUUAAAUUUAUAAGUGGUAUUUACAAAUGUUGAAUGAUCGUAUUUAUACAACGAGUGAAUAAUCGGUGUUAAGAUAUACAUUUAUUCAAUAUGUUUAUUAAUAUUUUAUGUAUGCAUAUACGCAAGUUAUAUAUCUAUACUUUAUAGAACUAGAGUCGGUAUCAGAUUUAUAACGUUCUAUUUCUCCUUUACGUAAGAGGAGCCAGAAUUAUAAUUCCACACAAGAAUUAGAUUUCCAAAAGUUAAAUGAUUUACUCAACGAUAUUUUAAAGUGUGCAAGUGGUUUGCAUUACAGCAAAAAAGAAAAAAAGGAAAAACGAUACUUUAGAAAAUUAACAAAAGUUUAACAAACAAACACCACCAACGUAUUACUUUCAUCCGUCGAAAAAGAUCCAUUUCAAAGGACCGAGGUCCACGCGCAUCGAGAAUCCGCCUCAUUGCUGGGGCCCACAAGGGCUCGAGUUAACGAAUUCAGAUGGGGCACGUUCACACCUCCGGCUGAUUAGGCCGAGCAUAAUUUUCCGUGUCCGACUCGCGGCUGGUCGGGCACAGGGCCGUAGGUCGUUCCAAGCGGACCCCGCGAUCCCCCUCCCCGCUCCACCAUUUUCUCCUCCACGAUCCUUCGCGUUUCACGUGGUGGGGGAACGUGUUUCGCCGGCCUCGCGGUGGGGGGAAAAAGGUGGAGCGGUGGGGACCGGGUGGAAGGGGAAGAAUAGUGGCGUAGAAGGUGUCGGGCAAUACUUUCCAGGUCGUCCGUCGCCGCUUGACGUCUUAAUGCACGUCGAGAAUAAUCUCACCGCCAAUUUAUUACACUCUUUCUCAUUUCUUCCCGGCUCCCCCCUCCCUCCGCCCGACGUGCCAGCCCGCCACCCCUUCUCGGCCGGCCUCACGGCGCACCUACCGGGACCCUUCUCCUUUUGUACCCUCGAGUAGCGGAGCGGCUCGUCCCAUCCUCUUUCAGCCGAACAAAAACCUAGCGCUCGAUCCUCGUCCCCUCGUUUGCCCUUUUUCUCUUUCCUCCGCCACGGCCUUCCCUUUCGUGCCUUUUUCUCCUCUCUUUUUCUCUCUCUAUUUCUGCCUCUCUUUCUCUUUCUCACGCUCGUUUCCACCAAUGCCCGCGGCCAGCCUCGCACCUAAUAGAAUACGUAAUUUGAAUUUUUGAAUUACGCCGCGCGGCCCACUCCGUAGGGGCGGCCAGACUCGAAAAUAGCGAGUCGAACCGAUGAACCAGGCGACAGCAAACGAUGUCCAGAGAUAAAUUUACGAAAUUUAUUUCGCGGAUUUCUCUUUUUUAAUUUUUUUUUUUUUUAAUCUAUGUUUUGAAUUUCGCGUUUUGAAUUUUGCUCUUUCUAAUUCUUCUCUUUCCUUUUCUUUUCUUUUCCUUUUUUUUCUCUUUUCUUUUUCGAGGGAAUUUUUAGGGUUCUUCUUUUAGGUAUGGAUGCGGUGGAUGGAUUCCGGGGAAAUCUGGCCACCGGGAAUAAUCGAUGCUGGGGCAUGGAGUGCCGGGGAGAUUAAUCGAGUUUCAAUUUUGGCGGAACGAGAGUUGGCGAGGUCACGGGUCCAUGGCCUCUUGCAAGAUGACCGAGCAUCUGGAUGUUGGAUCGCAGACAAGAAUUAUAUGAGCAAAUGCCACCCACCUGACAAACACAUGGAUCGUCGUUAGUUUCUACGAAACGGGGAAUACUCAGUUCCAUCAGGCAGUAAUUCAUCGGAUGUCCAAAAAUGGAAUGAUGACCAACCUACUCAACUGAAUAUUUUGAUAAGAAAAUUCUUUAUUUUCUAAUAUUAUAAAAAUUAUUUGUUAAAAAUGUAUUAUUAAAGAAACAAUAAAUACGAUUUUUAAAUAAAA